RNAcentral lists this ribosomal RNA (347 nucleotides) under Foraminifera environmental sample. RNAcentral's name for it is "SSU rRNA". It matches the Rfam family "Eukaryotic small subunit ribosomal RNA", at positions 1129 to 1407 of the family's 1831-position model. The record is from RNAcentral. Lineage: Eukaryota; Foraminifera.
ACGCACGUGUGAAACUUGAAGGAAUUGACGGAAGGGCACCACAAGAACGCGUGGAGCAUGUGGCUUAAUUUGACCCAACGCGGGAAAUCUUACCGGGUCCGGACACACUGAGGAUUGACAGGUUUUAUCAUGUUAUCUUUGAUGACAUGUGUCAAAUAUGCUAGUCCUUUCAUGAUUAUGUGAUAGGUGGUGCAUGGCCGUUCUUAGUUCGUGGAGUGAUCUGUCUGCUUAAUUGCGUUUCACUACGAAUCUACAUCAAAACGCAUGUUUGUGAGAUAGUUUGAUCCCUCCUUCGGGAGUUGUGCGUCUCUCUGUCAUAUUCACAUCGUGCAACGUAGAUUCUGAAA